AAGAAGCGAACCAGGGGAACUGAAACAUCUAAGUACCCUGAGGAAAAGAAAUCAACCGAGAUUCCCUUAGUAGUGGCGAGCGAACGGGGACUAGCCCUUAAGUGGCUUUGAGAUUAGCGGAACGCUCUGGAAAGUGCGGCCAUAGUGGGUGAUAGCCCUGUACGCGAAAAUCUCUUAGUCAUGAAAUCGAGUAGGACGGAGCACGAGAAACUUUGUCUGAAUAUGGGGGGACCAUCCUCC
RNAcentral lists this ribosomal RNA (240 nucleotides) under Klebsiella pneumoniae. RNAcentral describes it as "partial 23S ribosomal RNA". It matches the Rfam family "Bacterial large subunit ribosomal RNA", at positions 174 to 461 of the family's 2925-position model. Lineage: Bacteria; Pseudomonadati; Pseudomonadota; Gammaproteobacteria; Enterobacterales; Enterobacteriaceae. The record is from RNAcentral.